AAAUUGAAGAGUUUGAUCAUGGCUCAGAUUGAACGCUGGCGGCAGGCCUAACACAUGCAAGUCGAACGGUAACAGGAAGCAGCUUGCUGUUUCGCUGACGAGUGGCGGACGGGUGAGUAAUGUCUGGGAAACUGCCUGAUGGAGGGGGAUAACUACUGGAAACGGUAGCUAAUACCGCAUAACGUCGCAAGACCAAAGAGGGGGACCCUCGGGCCUCUUGCCAUCGGAUGUGCCCAGAUGGGAUUAGCUUGUUGGUGGGGUAACGGCUCACCAAGGCGACGAUCCCUAGCUGGUCUGAGAGGAUGACCAGCCACACUGGAACUGAGACACGGUCCAGACUCCUACGGGAGGCAGCAGUGGGGAAUAUUGCACAAUGGGCGCAAGCCUGAUGCAGCCAUGC
RNAcentral lists this ribosomal RNA (400 nucleotides) under Escherichia coli. Its description in RNAcentral is "bacterial SSU rRNA". It matches the Rfam family "Bacterial small subunit ribosomal RNA", at positions 1 to 397 of the family's 1533-position model. Lineage: Bacteria; Pseudomonadati; Pseudomonadota; Gammaproteobacteria; Enterobacterales; Enterobacteriaceae. The record is from RNAcentral.